RNAcentral lists this ribosomal RNA (551 nucleotides) under Zasmidium musae. Its description in RNAcentral is "SSU rRNA". It matches the Rfam family "Bacterial small subunit ribosomal RNA", at positions 362 to 948 of the family's 1533-position model. The record is from RNAcentral. Lineage: Eukaryota; Fungi; Ascomycota; Dothideomycetes; Mycosphaerellales; Mycosphaerellaceae.
UAUUGGUCAAUGGCCUAACGGCCGAACCAGCAAUUUGGGGGAAUGUAAGUAUAUAAAUACACCUUGACUAUGUCAAAUAAAGUUCUAAAUAGAAGACUGAUAAUGACAAAUUUCUAUUUAUGUGUCUCGACCAAUUCUUGUGCCAGCAGUCGCGGCAACACAAGUGAGACUAGUGUUAUUCAUCUUUACUAGGUUUAAAGGGUACCUAGACGGUAUAUUCAGCCUCAAAAAGGUACAGAUUUACUAGAGUUUUACAGGAGAGGUAAAUAUUAGGACCAUUGGUGUAGAGAUGAAAUUCUUUGAUACUAAUGGGAUGUAUUAUGGCGAAGGCAACCCUCUAUAUAUAAACUGACGUUAAGGGACGAAGGCUUGGGGAGCGAAUAGGAUUAGAUACCCUAGUAGUCCAGGCAGAAAAUUAUGAGUGUUAUAUACUAAGUAUAAAAUAAGUGUAUAAAUGAAAGCGUAAGCACUCCACCUCAAGAGUAGUGUGGCAACACAGGAACUGAAAUCAUUAGACCGUUUCUGAAACCAGUAGUGAAGUAUGUUAUUUA